Molecule: non-coding RNA, 117 nt
Organism: Thermoactinomyces sp. DSM 45891
Lineage: Bacteria; Bacillati; Bacillota; Bacilli; Caryophanales; Thermoactinomycetaceae
Source: Rfam
UCUGGUGAUGAUGGCGGAGGGGAUCCACUCGUUCCCAUCCCGAACACGACCGUUAAGCCCUCCAGCGCCGAUGGUACUUGGACCGCAGGGUCCUGGAAGAGUAGGACGUCGCCAGGC